Molecule: ribosomal RNA, 497 nt
Filed under: uncultured bacterium
Lineage: Bacteria
Description: partial 16S ribosomal RNA
Rfam family: Bacterial small subunit ribosomal RNA
Source: RNAcentral
GAUGAACGCUGGCGGCGUGCCUAAUACAUGCAAGUCGAGCGAACAGACGAGGAGCUUGCUCCUCUGACGUUAGCGGCGGACGGGUGAGUAACACGUGGAUAACCUACCUAUAAGACUGGGAUAACUUCGGGAAACCGGAGCUAAUACCGGAUAAUAUAUUGAACCGCAUGGUUCAAUAGUGAAAGACGGUUUUGCUGUCACUUAUAGAUGGAUCCGCGCCGCAUUAGCUAGUUGGUAAGGUAACGGCUUACCAAGGCAACGAUGCGUAGACGACCUGAGAGGGUGAUCGGCCACACUGGAACUGAGACACGGACCAGACUCCUACGGGAGGCAGCAGUAGGGAAUCUUCCGCAAUGGGCGAAAGCCUGACGGAGCAACGCCGCGUGAGUGAUGAAGGUCUUCGGAUCGUAAAACUCUGUUAUUAGGGAAGAACAAAUGUGUAAGUAACUAUGCACGUCUUGACGGUACCUAAUCAGAAAGCCACGGCUAACUACGUG